UACGUAGGUGACCAGCGUUGUCCGGAUUUACUGGGCGUAAAGAGCGCGCAGGCGGUCGUUCAAGUCGAGUGUGAAAGCCCCCGGCUCAACUGGGGAGGGUCAUUCGAUACUGAUCGACUGGAAGGCAGGAGAGGGAAGCGGAAUUCCCGGUGUAGUGGUGAAAUUCGUAGAUAUUCGGAGGAACACCAGUGGCGAAGGCGGCUCACUGGCUCGAUACUGACGCUGAGGUGCGAAAGCGUGGGGAGCAAACAGG
RNAcentral lists this ribosomal RNA (253 nucleotides) under uncultured bacterium. RNAcentral describes it as "partial 16S ribosomal RNA". It matches the Rfam family "Bacterial small subunit ribosomal RNA", at positions 524 to 776 of the family's 1533-position model. The record is from RNAcentral.